This 450-nucleotide ribosomal RNA is filed under the name uncultured bacterium. Its description in RNAcentral is "bacterial SSU rRNA". It matches the Rfam family "Bacterial small subunit ribosomal RNA", at positions 354 to 796 of the family's 1533-position model. The record is from RNAcentral.
GUGGGGAAUAUUGGACAAUGGGCGAAAGCCUGAUCCAGCCAUGCCGCGUGUGUGAAGAAGGUCUUCGGAUUGUAAAGCACUUUAAGUUGGGAGGAAGGGCAGUAAGCUAAUACCUUGCUGUUUUGACGUUACCGACAGAAUAAGCACCGGCUAACUUCGUGCCAGCAGCCGCGGUAAUACGAAGGGUGCAAGCGUUAAUCGGAAUUACUGGGCGUAAAGCGCGCGUAGGUGGUUUUGUAAGUUGGAGGUGAAAUCCCCGGGCUCAACCUGGGAACUGCCUCCAAAACUGCAUGACUAGAGUACGGUAGAGGGUAGUGGAAUUUCCUGUGUAGCGGUGAAAUGCGUAGAUAUAGGAAGGAACACCAGUGGCGAAGGCGACUACCUGGACUGAUACUGACACUGAGGUGCGAAAGCGUGGGGAGCAAACAGGAUUAGAUACCCGAGUAGUCC